AAAUAAAUUUAAUUAGUUGUCUAUACUAAUUUUUAACAAGUAUUUCUUUUGUUGUUGAAAUGAAAGACAACUAAAAUUUGGUUGCUUUUAUUGUAUUUUAACGACAAAAAUAGUUAUUAAACAACCAAACAAUUCGUUGUUGAAAAAUAUAAUCAAUUGUCAAUACAAACCUUUUACGACCAAUUAUUUAGUUGCUAAAGUAAUACAGUUAACGAUCAAAUGUAUUUUUAGUCAUUGAAUAUAAUCGCGAACACCUCUUUGCUGACCAACGAACGACCAACUGAUUUUAGUCGUUGAAUGUGAUCAACAACCAAAAAUGUACAUUCUACGACCAUUUAUAUGGUUGUUAAAGGUGAUAUUUCCUGUGGUGCUUAAAUGUCUUUUAUUUUUAUUAAAAUGUGAAACUUCUGUAGAACGAAAAUGAAUAGAAGCAAGAAAUGAUGGAGAAGCUCUCUAGAAAAUUGCGAAAAUCUUGUCGAGCAUCUCAAUUCAAUGACAACAACAAUUUCUCUCUACUUGCGACAAUGGCCAUCUGAGUGACACCCAAGGUUUCCAAUUAUUCAAUACUCAAAAGCUCAUGUAUUGUAAUUGUGUGUGAAUAUCAAUAAUUGAGUGUUAACUGAAUUUCUUUAGUUUUGAAUUAUCUAUGUAUCGUUAAUUGUGUAUAUUUGAUUAUUUGUAGAGUAAGAGUAGCUUUUUCGAUCUUUCGAGAAGAAUCUAGUUCAGUCGGUCUUUUCUUUGGAAGUUAUGAGUAUAAAUGAUUAUUCUAAUAUAUUUUUUAAAUUGUUUUUUAGUUCACUGAGUUGAUACUGGUUUAAUUCUUGUAGAGCAUUUUUGCUAAACUACUUUUUUAUUACACAGCUGUACUCAUUUUCUCAAUUUUUCAACAGGCUUAUUAUCCCUGGGAAUUGUUGGUCUUUGAAUUUUUAUUGUAACACCAUGCAUAUAGAAUAGAUGUUGAUUAGGGUCUAUAAAACUUGUCUAUCUUGACGCAUACUUAUAAAUAAUUUUUAUAUGAAAUUCCAUUAGAAGUCCAUUUUAGUAGGGUGAAUAAGGCACGUGAGGUGAGCAAUAUCAAGUAAAAUGCUUGGUUGACAAGAUAAAAAUUUAUGAAAAAACACAUGCUAAAUUUUAUUCUCAAUGAACUUGUAGCUGGCUAUAUGUAUCCUUCUUCUUUCAUACUGUCCAAUACAUUUAGAGUUUUAGAUUUAGAGCCUGUUUGGGAGUGAUUUUGAGCAUUGAUUUUUUUACCGUUAGGGGAAAAGUGGGGUCCACCUGUGAAAGAAGAAGUGAAAUAUGAUAGCUGAAAUAGUAAAAUAACGAUUAAAAAAUCAAUUUUUUGGGGGAAAAAAUCACUCCCAAACAGGCUCUUAGCAAUAUAGCAGCAUAUUUACUGUUAUGUCUAAUGAAAUAAAAUCUUUUGCAAAUUAUGAUAAAUUGGGACUACUUCUCCCCUAUGGUAUUGAUGUUGCAAGAUUUUAUGCAAAAUUGGUGGUCCCUGCAUCAUCCAAGACCAUAAUUAGAACCAAACUUACUCAUAAUUGGGUUAAUUAUGCAUCCUAAGCUCUUAUCCAACAUUAUCGCUCUCAUCCAAAUGUGGUCGUGUGUAUGAGUGUUGAUCAGUUGGUAUAAGCAAAUUAAUAGUACGGAACUUUAAACAGACCAUAAGAUAUAAGCAUUUGUGGGCACUGCCAUAAAGUACCAUCACUACUUUUCUUAUACACAAAUGAAGGAUGCACUACGAUGUUUGAAAAUAUAUGCCUCGACAUCCAUAAUUUGGUGAAUAAUCGAUUAAGAAAAAUUAAUGGGAAUAUCAAAAUCACAUAUUUAGUCAGAUAUUAAAUUCUCUGUGUACGACGUCCAUUGCCAGGAAUGAAUACUAGAGGCGUCAACAAGGACAAGGGAGUAAGCUUUUCUUAGUUCACCUUCAUUCUGAAGUCGUGAGAGAUUAUAAGUAAUGCUAGAUUCUCUCACAAAUUGGUCAUUAAUCCAAAACACAUAAAUCCUUCAUUUUUAAAAUAUUGCAUGAAUGUUGAAUAUGUUAUAACUUACAAUAGAAGAACUAAAACUAAGUUGAAAGGGAAUUAUUUGUUCUAAAAACAUGAAAAUCAAUUCAAUUCUAAUUCAUAUUAGUAGACAUCAUCUUGUUUCCGAAAGAAAUGAAACCAAAACCUAAGUGGCAAGUAUAAAUUCACUUUUAUGUCUUUAUAAUUUCACAUGAUAAGAUUUGAAGAACAUGGAUUUGAAAAAAUAGUGGUAUAAAUUUAUAAUGUUGACCUUAUCUGAUAUGAGCCUCAGCCUUAAAAAUCCUUACCUAUUAUGGCUCAUUUUUAGCUUCAAUUUCAAUUUCAGUUUAUUCUUUGGUCUAAAAUUCAUCGUGGCCUGAGAUUAUAUUAAGCUCGGUUUGAAUUGGUUUUAUUCACAAUCAUAAUGGACAUUGGAAGGGUUGUUACACCUGUGUCAUUCUUUGUGCUCAUUUUUCUUGUUUCUAUCCGAUUAACAGCAUUAUCGUGCAUACUUCAUGUACGAGGUUGAUUCGUGGAGCAUCAUGUCUGCAGGUUAGGUUCUUCCUCUUAAUUUUGUAUUUCCAUUUUCUUGAUAGGUGAGUUUGUAGUCCAUGUAUUGCAUACUGGGAAUGAUGUUAUGAGUUCACUACUCAAAUGGAUUUUGUUUGUUACUAUUUUCAUCGGCAGCAUUGCCCUGAAAAUCAUUUUUUUGUUUUAAUUUAUUUCAACUGUCGCGGUAAUUUUUAUCGCUAUAUGCUUAGUCACUAAAGUUUAAUUAAGUUUACUUAUAAUCUUUGUUGCAUAAAUUGUUUAUUUAUAUGCUUUCUCAUAUUAUUCAUGCAAUUUCUAAAUAAAUCUAUGGAAAAUAUGCAAAGAAAGAUAUUGAAUAACCAAUUCACUCUGUCAACGAAAGUACAAAUUCUUAUUCUUGUCUUUAAAAGAUUAAGGUUUCUUUGCAUUCUAUGCUUCCCUCUAUUAACUUCAAAAUUCAAGCAAAGCAAUGUCAAGGUCUUGUGCAACGAUCACAUUUUUUUCUUGGUGGUUUAGGAGGAGAGAAGAUCUCUUGAACUAUGUUUAGGUGUUUGCCUACCUACGGAUUAUGAUUAUCUUCCAUCAAUUAGCAAGAACACAUUCCAUUAAAUAUCUUAUUAUUCAUUUCCACUCUGAUUGAGUUUACAUCCAUGCUACAGAUAGGCAAAGUUUAAGUGGGAUAUCUCACGGCUUCCUUUUGGGCCAUUGAGGUAAACUAUAGUGGGAUAUAAAUUGAUGGUGACAUAUACAGUGGUCAUUGAAGUUCUCAAGCAUACGGUAA
This 3318-nucleotide long non-coding RNA is filed under the name Olea europaea subsp. europaea. Lineage: Eukaryota; Viridiplantae; Streptophyta; Magnoliopsida; Lamiales; Oleaceae. The record is from RNAcentral.